GCGGAUCUCGAGCAUCAAGCACUUCUAAAAUGACAUCAGAAGCGUCAAUGACUUUGACUAACUCCUUGUAGAAAGCUCUUUCCGAGUUCUCACGGAUUUUAACAAAAUUAGUUGAAUCAUUGUUUCCCUUGCCCUCCAUUAAAUUCUGUUCUCCCGAAGCCAUGUCAGCAAGUUCAUUCCCACCAUCAUCCUCGACCACCCCUAGCUUUCUUUUCUUAGCCCUCUCUUUUCGGGCAGCUUUCUUCUGCUCCAAU
Molecule: unclassified non-coding RNA, 254 nt
Filed under: Hevea brasiliensis (rubber tree)
Lineage: Eukaryota; Viridiplantae; Streptophyta; Magnoliopsida; Malpighiales; Euphorbiaceae
Source: RNAcentral